RNAcentral lists this transfer RNA (72 nucleotides) under Neotoma lepida (desert woodrat). It matches the Rfam family "tRNA". From Rfam's summary of the family: Transfer RNA (tRNA) molecules are approximately 80 nucleotides in length. Their secondary structure includes four short double-helical elements and three loops (D, anti-codon, and T loops). The record is from Rfam by way of RNAcentral. Lineage: Eukaryota; Metazoa; Chordata; Mammalia; Rodentia; Cricetidae.
GUGAGUGUGGCUCAGUGACAGAGUGCUAGUCUAGCACACAAAAGGUUCUAGGUUCGAUGCCCAGCACAGACU